This 440-nucleotide ribosomal RNA is filed under the name uncultured bacterium. RNAcentral's name for it is "bacterial SSU rRNA". It matches the Rfam family "Bacterial small subunit ribosomal RNA", at positions 338 to 795 of the family's 1533-position model. The record is from RNAcentral.
CCUACGGGGGGCUGCAGUGGGGAAUCUUGCACAAUGGAGGAAACUCUGAUGCAGCGAUGCCGCGUGAGUGAAGAAGGCCCUUGGGUUGUAAAGCUCUUUCGUCGGGGAAGAAAAUGACUGUACCCGAAUAAGAAGGUCCGGCUAACUUCGUGCCAGCAGCCGCGGUAAUACGAAGGGACCUAGCGUAGUUCGGAAUUACUGGGCUUAAAGAGUUCGUAGGUGGUUGAAAAAGUUGGUGGUGAAAUCCCAGAGCUUAACUCUGGAACUGCCAUCAAAACUUUUCAGCUAGAGUAUGAUAGAGGAAAGCAGAAUUUCUAGUGUAGAGGUGAAAUUCGUAGAUAUUAGAAAGAAUACCAAUUGCGAAGGCAGCUUUCUGGAUCAUUACUGACACUGAGGAACGAAAGCAUGGGUAGCGAAGAGGAUUAGAUACCCUGGUAGUC